AUGUUCAGAAGAAGAGCCUGAAGGUCCAGCAGUGGUUCAGAUGUUCAGAAGAAGAGCCUGAAGGUCCAGCAGUGGUUCAGAUGUUCAGAAGAAGAGCCUGAAGGUCCAGCAGUGGUUCAGAUGUUCAGAAGAAGAGCCUGAAGGUCCAGCAGUGGUUCAGAUGUUCAGAAGAAGAGCCUGAAGGUCCAGCAGUGGUUCAGAUGUUCAGAAGAAGAGCCUGAAGGUCCAGCAGUGGUUCAGAUGUUCAGAAGAGCCUGAAGGUCCAGCAGUGGUUCAGAUGUUCAGAAGAGCCUGAAGGUCCAGCAGUGGUUCAGAUGUUCAGAAGAGCCUGAAGGUCCAGCAGUGGUUCAGAUGUUCGCUCAGCUGGCUCUAAGUGGGUAAAAAUAUUCAAACAAAUCCUUCACUGAAUAUUUUCUUCACCAGUGGAACAGCAUGAAUGAAAACAUGUCAGAGCUGAUUGACUUCCUGUUGGGUCACAGAUCCAGUUAAUGUCUUGUUAGGACGAGUUUAUGUUUAAAUUUAAUUCUCUUAAACCCUUUAUAUGAAUAAACUAUAAAGUGUGAUGAAGAAGAAACCAAACUGUGUAAAACAGGCUCAGUGUUGGACUGAGAAGGUCGCUGAUGUAGAACGUUUCUCCUGAUAAAUGAACACCAGAGACUGAUGAGAGCAGCCAGAGCUGGUUUAUGAGCUUCCAGUAGUCGAAUCAUCUGAUGAAAUCACUGUUCAGGUGGUUUGUUUCUGCCAUAUUUAUGUUCAGUCUGACUGCAGCUACAAAAACAGAAGCUGUAGAAACUCUGCAGUCAUGAAAAAAGAAACUUUAAAAUUGUUGAUUUUAUCAUUUUAAAGGUUACCAUUUAUUAAAAAC
Molecule: long non-coding RNA, 865 nt
Organism: Amphiprion ocellaris (clown anemonefish)
Lineage: Eukaryota; Metazoa; Chordata; Actinopteri; Pomacentridae
Source: Ensembl